This 71-nucleotide transfer RNA is filed under the name Danaus plexippus plexippus. It matches the Rfam family "tRNA". From Rfam's summary of the family: Transfer RNA (tRNA) molecules are approximately 80 nucleotides in length. Their secondary structure includes four short double-helical elements and three loops (D, anti-codon, and T loops). The record is from Rfam by way of RNAcentral. Lineage: Eukaryota; Metazoa; Arthropoda; Insecta; Lepidoptera; Nymphalidae.
CCCAUUAGCUCAGUCGGUUAGAGCGUCGAUCUAAUAACUCGAAGGUCGCGGGUUCGGUCCCCGAUCAUGGG